Molecule: ribosomal RNA, 253 nt
Filed under: uncultured bacterium
Lineage: Bacteria
Description: partial 16S ribosomal RNA
Rfam family: Bacterial small subunit ribosomal RNA
Source: RNAcentral
UACGUAGGGGGCAAGCGUUGUCCGGAUUUAUUGGGCGUAAAGAGCGUGUAGGCGGUUUGGUAGGUCCGCUGUGAAAACUCGAGGCUCAACCUCGAGACGCCGGUGGAAACCAUCAGACUAGAGUCCGGAAGAGGAGAGUGGAAUUCCUGGUGUAGCGGUGAAAUGCGCAGAUAUCAGGAGGAACACCUGCGGUGUAGACGGCUUACUGGACCAUCACUGACGCUGAGGCACGAAAGCGUGGGUAGCAAACAGG